RNAcentral lists this ribosomal RNA (253 nucleotides) under uncultured bacterium. RNAcentral describes it as "partial 16S ribosomal RNA". It matches the Rfam family "Bacterial small subunit ribosomal RNA", at positions 524 to 776 of the family's 1533-position model. The record is from RNAcentral.
UACGGAGGGUGCAAGCGUUGUCCGGAUUUAUUGGGUUUAAAGGGUGCGUAGGUGGUUUUUUAAGUCUGGUUUGAAAGCAAGUGGCUCAACCAUUUGAUGUGGCUGGAAACUGGGGAACUUGAAUGGAUUGGCGGUAGCCGGAACGGGUCAUGUAGCGGUGAAAUGCAUAGAUAUGUCACAGAACACCAAUUGCGAAGGCAGCUUACUAAAGUGUGAUUGACACUGAGGCACGAAAGCGUGGGGAUCAAACAGG